Pristis pectinata (smalltooth sawfish) is the source of this 1201-nucleotide long non-coding RNA. RefSeq lists it as uncharacterized. The transcript has 4 exons. Lineage: Eukaryota; Metazoa; Chordata; Chondrichthyes; Rhinopristiformes; Pristidae. The record is from RefSeq and is a predicted model, not a curated record.
CGUCGACUGGUUAUUUCCCUCCAAAGAUACUACCUGACGUGCUAAGUUCCUUCAGCAUUUUGUGUGUGUUGCACCAGAUUCCAGCAUCUGCAGAGUUUCUAAUGUCUAAAUAUUUAAGAUAUUUGGAGGUCCCAUGAGGUGUAUGAGGACAUGCAUGAGUUCUAUGUGUUUCGAAGUGGAUGGUGAGUCCUGUAUGAGAUCUAAAAUGGGUAGGUGCUAAUUGAAAUAGGUGGGUGGGUAGUUUGAGUUGCUGUACAUUAUUUCUGUUUAUGCUGUUUACAGUUGGUUUUCAGAUGUUCUUGUUGGAAGAAUUCAGUUCCUGUACAGAUGAUUCUCCUCCAAUUUGUGUGGUCUUGGUCCAGGGACUCCCAUGAGUUACUUGAUGUUGCACUUUCUCCAGGAUAAGAUACCUUUAUUAGUCACAUCUUUUCUGUAGAGUGUUCUGGGGGCAGCCCACAAGUGCUGCCACGCUUCUGGCGCCAACAUUUUGAGGAAGUGCUUUUGGAGUUUUCUCUGGGCUCCUGGAAAUUAUUCGGCAUGGCAGAAUUCUGAACUGAGGACAUUUUUUGGGAAUUCGUUGUCUGAAUGCAGACAAUGUGGCCUGUUCAGUGGGGUUGUCUGAAUGUGGUAUGUGUGUUAGUGCAGGAAUAGUUGGCCAGAGAAAGAACACUGACAUUUAUUCACCUGUCCUCUCAGAGGAUCCUUUGAAGGGUAAAGCAUAUGCUGGUGCACUGGAGGCAGAAGUGGACUUCAAAAUCAACAUCAGCCCUCGCUGAAAGUCGACAUUUGAGAUAUGAAGCACAAGUCAUGUCUUCCAAGAUUUUGCCACUGACCUUGAUCGACCAGGCUGUUGCUGUUUGAUGAGAAUGGGUUGGUGAAGGAUGUUUGUCUUCAGGAUGUUGUCGUAAGAACCCCAUUCUGUCAUAUGCUUCAAAUGAGGUAUCUCCAAUUGUUUGGAGUGUGACCUCCAGGUGAUUUUACACAUUAAUUCUAUGCAAUCGGGGAGCUUGUUUGAAGAUGAGAUGAGGCAUUGUGCCAAAGAAGAUUGAGAAGACGGUUGGUGAGAUGCCAGAUCCCCAAUUUCUCUCAAGACUGUAGUCUGGAACAAAAAAAAAUUGCUGGAAGAACUCAGCAAGUCAGUCAGCAUCUGUGAAGGCAGAGGGAUGGCCAACGUUUCAAGUUGAGAUCUGCAUCAGGACUU